This is a long non-coding RNA of Sarcophilus harrisii (Tasmanian devil), 470 nucleotides long. RefSeq lists it as uncharacterized. The transcript has 3 exons. The record is from RefSeq and is a predicted model, not a curated record. NCBI's taxonomy places the organism in Eukaryota, Metazoa, Chordata, Mammalia, Dasyuromorphia, Dasyuridae.
ACAAGGUUGGAUCCAAAUGGCUGAAAGACAGACUAGUAUUAGGUUGAGCCUUUCCUGUUGGAGAGGCUCUGACAAACUUAAUUCUUGCUUAACUAACUCUUCCUGGGUGCUUUCCACUUGUGUUACAGCAACAGUGAAGAUUGAAGGAAGUUAAAGAAGCAUUUUGGGAGAGCAGGGGAAAAAGCAAUGAGCCUUCCAUAUCAAGGAUGGAUCCAUUAAAGUUCACCUUGGGAUAGCAAAUGAGACAAAGGCCAUUUGAGGAGAGAUUGAGAACCUGUGUCUACACAUUGUAUGAGGUAGAUGAGAAAAUGUCCACGGAUGAUCUCAAUCUUUUGGAGAACAAUCUUGAAAAAAUUGUCUUUUAGAAAUGAAGUAUAUUCAGAAUGUCCUGGAAGAAUUCUUAGUCUAUGGCAAAAUCGUGGAGUCCUGUAGCCUUCAUGCUUCAUUGAUGGCAACAAUAAAGAAGACUG